Molecule: non-coding RNA, 117 nt
Organism: Danio rerio (zebrafish)
Lineage: Eukaryota; Metazoa; Chordata; Actinopteri; Cypriniformes; Danionidae
Source: Rfam
AAACACAGACAUCUCACCCUGCAGCUCAAGACCGCUUACUCACUGAAGCUACGCAGGGCUGAGCCUGGUCAGUACCUGGAUGGGAGACCACAUGGGAAAACUAGGUUGCUGUUGGAA